This 615-nucleotide ribosomal RNA is filed under the name uncultured bacterium. RNAcentral's name for it is "bacterial SSU rRNA". The stretch from base 1 to 524 matches the Rfam family "Bacterial small subunit ribosomal RNA", at positions 338 to 873 of the family's 1533-position model. The record is from RNAcentral.
CCUACGGGAGGCAGCAGUGGGGAAUAUUGGACAAUGGGCGAAAGCCUGAUCCAGCAAUGCCGCGUGAGUGAAGAAGGCCUUCGGGUUGUAAAGCUCUUUUACCCGGGAAGAUAAUGACUGUACCGGGAGAAUAAGCUCCGGCUAACUCCGUGCCAGCAGCCGCGGUAAUACGGAGGGAGCUAGCGUUGUUCGGAAUUACUGGGCGUAAAGCGUACGUAGGCGGCUUGGUAAGUCAGAGGUGAAAGCCCACGACUCAAUCGUGGAACUGCCUUUGAGACUGCUUCGCUUGAAGAUGGGAGAGGUUAGUGGAAUUCCGAGUGUAGAGGUGAAAUUCGUAGAUAUUCGGAAGAACACCAGUGGCGAAGGCGGCUAACUGGACCAUUCUUGACGCUGAGGUACGAAAGCGUGGGGAGCAAACAGGAUUAGAUACCCUGGUAGUCCACGCCGUAAACGAUGAUAACUAGCUGUCGGGGCUCUUGGGUAGCGUCGGUGGUCGCGAGCGUACGCACUUAAGUUAUACCGUCCGUCGGGUAGGUACGGCCGCGAACGUUAAACGUACGAACGAAGUAGACGGCGUGAGACGUAGCCGACGGACGACCGACGACGGGAGGUAGG